RNAcentral lists this ribosomal RNA (407 nucleotides) under uncultured bacterium. RNAcentral's name for it is "partial 16S ribosomal RNA". It matches the Rfam family "Bacterial small subunit ribosomal RNA", at positions 28 to 526 of the family's 1533-position model. The record is from RNAcentral.
GACGAACGCUAGCGGCGUGCCUACUACAUGCAAGUAGGCCGCAGUUGCGAACGGGUGAGUAACGCGUAGGUAACUACCUAUUAGAGGGGGAUAACUAUUGGAAACGAUAGCUAAUACCGCAUACUAGUAGAUGGACCUGCGUUGUAUUAGCUAGUAGGUAGGGUAAUGGCCUACCUGGGCAACGAUACAUAGCCGACCUGGGAGGUGGAUCGGCCACCCGGGGACGGAGACACGGCCCAGAGUCCUACGGGAGGCAGCAGUAGGGAUCAUUCGGCAAUGGGGGGAACCCUGACCGAGCAACGCCGCGUGAGUGAUGAAGGUUUUCGGAUCGUAAAGCUCUGUUGUUAAGGAAGCGGUACUUAACCAGAAAGGGACGGCGAACUACGUGCCAGCAGCCGCGGUAAUAC